This 497-nucleotide ribosomal RNA is filed under the name uncultured bacterium. RNAcentral's name for it is "partial 16S ribosomal RNA". It matches the Rfam family "Bacterial small subunit ribosomal RNA", at positions 28 to 507 of the family's 1533-position model. The record is from RNAcentral.
GAUGAACGCUGGCGGCGUGCCUAAUACAUGCAAGUCGAGCGGACGGACGAGAAGCUUGCUUCUCUGAUGUUAGCGGCGGACGUGUGAGUAACACGUGGAUAACCUACCUAUAAGACUGGGAUAACUUCGGGACACCGGAUCUAAUACCGGAUAAUAUUUUGAACCGCAUGGUUCAAAAGUGAAAGACGGUCUUGCUGUCACUUAUAGAUGGAUCCGCGCUGCAUUAGCUAGUUGGUAAGGUAACGGCUUACCAAGGCAACGAGGCAUAGCCGACCUGAGAGGGUGAUCGGCGACACGGGAAGUGAGACACGGUCCAGACUCCUACGGGAGGCAGCAGUAGGGAAUCGUCCGCAAUGGGGGAAAGCCUGACGGAGCGACGCCGCGUGAGUGAUGAAGGUCUUCGGAGCGUAAAACUCUGUUAUUAGGGAAGAACAUAUGUGUAAGUAACUGUGCACAUCGUGACGGUACCUAAUCAGAAAGCCACGGCUAACUACGUG